CGUGCAGGAAGACUGCCCUAUGGGUUGUAAACUGCUUUUGUACAGGAAGAAACACCCCCACGUGUGGGGGCUUGACGGUACUGUAAGAAUAAGGAUCGGCUAACUCCGUGCCAGCAGCCGCGGUAAUAAAA
RNAcentral lists this ribosomal RNA (131 nucleotides) under uncultured Flavobacteriaceae bacterium. Its description in RNAcentral is "partial 16S ribosomal RNA". It matches the Rfam family "Bacterial small subunit ribosomal RNA", at positions 400 to 528 of the family's 1533-position model. Lineage: Bacteria; Pseudomonadati; Bacteroidota; Flavobacteriia; Flavobacteriales; Flavobacteriaceae. The record is from RNAcentral.